This 598-nucleotide unclassified non-coding RNA is filed under the name Hevea brasiliensis (rubber tree). Lineage: Eukaryota; Viridiplantae; Streptophyta; Magnoliopsida; Malpighiales; Euphorbiaceae. The record is from RNAcentral.
AAAGGGUUUUGGGUUAUGUUUUUUUGCAGGUUUGAAGAAAUAGUAAUAGCAAAUCAGUAACCCGUGUUGGAUGGAAGUGAUCUGGCUGAUUAGGCAUGCCUGGUGUGGUGGGAGGGUGCGGAGCACUGAGAAGUUCGUUGACUUAGGGGAAACUGAAAUGCCUUAGAACUCUGUGAGUUAUGCCCAGUUUCUUUUUAAUGGAUGCCGGUUGAUUAAUUUGCUCUUGGCUUUGAGGUCCAGUAUAGAUUGAGUGGUUUGAUCUAUAAGAUAUUUGGAACAUGAAGACUUUUGUGUUGAUUUUUGAAUGCAUGCGGGCAUUUUGUCACCGUUAAAAUUUCUGUUUUCUUUUUCCUAGUCUCUGCUUUGGUUUCGGCUCUGGAUGUGGAGCGCUGCUGCUGUAGCUUUUGGUGGUUUAGUUUUUCUAGUGUGCUAAUUUCCAAGGCUUAUUUAUGGGUCAUUUGUGGGGUUGGGGAUGUUUAUUGGGGACUGGAUUAUGAGCCUUUAGCCUUUUAAAUUGCUCUGUUCUUGUUCUUGCCCGAUGAACAAUGAAUGCAAUUCUCGAUUUGCAGAUUAAAAAAAAAUAGCUUAAUAAAAUAAA